RNAcentral lists this ribosomal RNA (253 nucleotides) under uncultured bacterium. RNAcentral's name for it is "partial 16S ribosomal RNA". It matches the Rfam family "Bacterial small subunit ribosomal RNA", at positions 524 to 776 of the family's 1533-position model. The record is from RNAcentral.
UACAGAGGUCUCAAGCGUUGUUCGGAUUCAUUGGGCGUAAAGGGUGCGUAGGCGGCGCCGUAAGUCUGGUGUGAAAUCCCGGAGCUCAACUCCGGAAUUGCACUGGAUACUGCGGUGCUCGAGGACUGGAGAGGAGACUGGAAUUCACGGUGUAGCAGUGAAAUGCGUAGAUGUCGUGAGGAAGACCAGUGGCGAAGGUGGGUCUCUGGACAGUUCCUGACGCUGAGGCACGAAGGCCAGGGGAGCAAACGGG